CGGACGGGUGAGUAAUGUCUGGGAAACUGCCUGAUGGAGGGGGAUAACUACUGGAAACGGUAGCUAAUACCGCAUAACGUCGCAAGACCAAGAGGGGGACCUUCGGGCCUCUUGCCAUCGGAUGUGCCCAGAUGGGAUUAGCUAGUAGGUGGGGUAACGGCUCACCUAGGCGACGAUCCCUAGCUGGUCUGAGAGGAUGACCAGCCACACUGGAACUGAGACACGGUCCAG
RNAcentral lists this ribosomal RNA (231 nucleotides) under uncultured bacterium. Its description in RNAcentral is "partial 16S ribosomal RNA". It matches the Rfam family "Bacterial small subunit ribosomal RNA", at positions 99 to 334 of the family's 1533-position model. The record is from RNAcentral.